UACGAAGGAUUCGAGCGUUAUCCGGAUUUAUUGGGUUUAAAGGGUGCGUAGGUGGACUAAUAAGUCAGUGGUGAAAGCCCGGAGCUCAACUCCGGAACUGCCAUUGAUACUGUUAGUCUUGAGUACAGUUGAGGUGGGCGGAAUGUGUCAUGUAGCGGUGAAAUGCUUAGAUAUGACAUAGAACACCAAUUGCGAAGGCAGCUCGUUACACGAAUAUUGACUCUGAGGCUCGAAAGCGUGGGGAUCAAACAGG
Molecule: ribosomal RNA, 253 nt
Filed under: uncultured bacterium
Lineage: Bacteria
Description: partial 16S ribosomal RNA
Rfam family: Bacterial small subunit ribosomal RNA
Source: RNAcentral